GAUGAACGCUGGCGGCGUGCCUAAUACAUGCAAGUCGAGCGAACAGACGAGGAGCUUGCUCCUCUGACGUUAGCGGCGGACGGGUGAGUAACACGUGGAUAACCUACCUAUAAGACUGGGAUAACUUCGGGAAACCGGAGCUAAUACCGGAUAACAUGUUGAACCGCAUGGUUCAACAGUGAAAGACGGUCUUGCUGUCACUUAUAGAUGGAUCCGCACCGCAUUAGCUAGUUGGUAAGGUAACGGCUUACCAAGGCAACGAUGCGUAGCCGACCUGAGAGGGUGAUCGGCCACACUGGAACUGAGACACGGUCCAGACUCCUACGGGAGGCAGCAGUAGGGAAUCUUCCGCAAUGGGCGAAAUCCUGACGGAGCAACGCCGCGUGAGUGAAGAAGGUCCUCGGAUCGUAAAACUCUGUUAUUAGGGAAGAACAAAUGUGUAAGUAACUAUGCACGUCUUGACGGUACCUAAUCAGAAAGCCACGGCUAACUACGUG
RNAcentral lists this ribosomal RNA (497 nucleotides) under uncultured bacterium. RNAcentral's name for it is "partial 16S ribosomal RNA". It matches the Rfam family "Bacterial small subunit ribosomal RNA", at positions 28 to 507 of the family's 1533-position model. The record is from RNAcentral.